RNAcentral lists this ribosomal RNA (497 nucleotides) under uncultured bacterium. RNAcentral describes it as "partial 16S ribosomal RNA". It matches the Rfam family "Bacterial small subunit ribosomal RNA", at positions 28 to 507 of the family's 1533-position model. The record is from RNAcentral.
GAUGAACGCUGGCGGCGUGCCUAAUACAUGCAAGUCGAGCGAACGGACGAGAAGCUUGCUUUUCUGAUGUUAGCGGCGGACGAGUGAGUAACACGUGGAUAACCUACCUAUAAGACUGGGAUAACUUCGGGAAACCGGAGCUAAUACCGGAUAAUAUUUUGAACCGCAUGGUUCAAAAGUGAAAGACGGUCUUGCUGUCACUUAUAGAUGGAUCCGCGCUGCAUUAGCUAGUUGGUAAGGUAACGGCUUACCAAGGCAACGAUGCAUAGCCGACCUGAGAGGGUGAUCGGCCACACUGGAACUGAGACACGGUCCAGACUCCUACGGGAGGCAGCAGUAGGGAAUCUUCCGCAAUGGGCGAAAGCCUGACGGAGCAACGCCGCGUGAGUGAUGAAGGUCUUCGGAUCAUAAAACUCUGUUAUUAGGGAAGAACAUAUGUGUAAGUAACUGUGCACAUCUUGACGGUACCUAAUCAGAAAGCCACGGCUAACUACGUG